GAUGAACGCUGGCGGCGUGCUUAAUACAUGCAAGUCGAACGGAAAGGCCCUGCUCUUGCGGGGUGCUCGUGUGGCGAACGGGUGAGUAACACGCGUGUAACCCGCACUUGUAUUAGGGAUAAAUUCAGGAAACAGGGGCUAAUAUCGGAUAGGAGAUCCUGCUGCACGGGGGGGGUUGGAAAGAUUCGGCGGUUGGGGAUGGACUCGAGGCUUAUCCGCUUGUUAGGCGGGUAGUGGCUUACCAAGUCUUUGAAGGGUAGGCGGCCUGAGAGGGUGACCGGCGACAUGGGGACUGAGAGACGGCGCAGACUGGUAUGGGAGGCAGCAGUCGGGAGUAUUGCACAAUGGGGGCAAGUGUGAUGCAGCAGUGCCGCGUUCGUGAUGACGGCCUACGAGGUGUAAACCGAUGUCUCCGGUGACGAAGCGGGAGUGACGGUAAUGAAUAAAAAAGCACCGGCUAACUACGUG
Molecule: ribosomal RNA, 468 nt
Filed under: uncultured bacterium
Lineage: Bacteria
Description: partial 16S ribosomal RNA
Rfam family: Bacterial small subunit ribosomal RNA
Source: RNAcentral